CGAGUCGAUACAGUAAGUAAGCCGCCAAGCAUAUUGCUAGGCACAGAGCAGGUGUGCAACAAAAGUUAUUUCUCAGGCUUUCCCUCCUCUGAGCGCCGUCCUCCAGAGGGUCCGGAGUGUAGCUGGGGGUUGGAGCAGCAGCCUCCUAGGCGAUGGGACAGAGCCCACAGGGUCCGGUAUGCCACGGUUUCUUCGUCAGACCCUGGGAAUCCAACGUCGCAAAAUAAACACGGCCGCGCCGCUAAUCGCCAGUUCGGAGGAAACAAAACAGCGCUGCGCUGGGGGAUCUGGGCAAAAUCAGCCCUCCCUCCUCC
Molecule: long non-coding RNA, 314 nt
Filed under: Homo sapiens (human)
Lineage: Eukaryota; Metazoa; Chordata; Mammalia; Primates; Hominidae
Description: HSALNT0172346
Source: RNAcentral